RNAcentral lists this ribosomal RNA (246 nucleotides) under uncultured Lactobacillus sp. RNAcentral's name for it is "partial 16S ribosomal RNA". It matches the Rfam family "Bacterial small subunit ribosomal RNA", at positions 116 to 355 of the family's 1533-position model. The record is from RNAcentral. Lineage: Bacteria; Bacillati; Bacillota; Bacilli; Lactobacillales; Lactobacillaceae.
CGUGGGUAACCUGCCCAAGAGAUCGGGAUAACACCUGGAAACAGAUGCUAAUACCGGAUAACAACAGAUGAUGCCUAUCAACUGUUUAAAAGAUGGUUCUGCUAUCACUCUUGGAUGGACCUGCGGUGCAUUAGCUAGUUGGUAAGGUAACGGCCUACCAAGGCGAUGAUGCAUAGCCGAGUUGAGAGACUGAUCGGCCACAUUGGGACUGAGACACGGCCCAAACUCCUACGGGAGGCAGCAGUC